Molecule: long non-coding RNA, 5128 nt
Filed under: Triticum aestivum (bread wheat)
Lineage: Eukaryota; Viridiplantae; Streptophyta; Magnoliopsida; Poales; Poaceae
Description: long non-coding RNA (TAES_LNC014292)
Source: RNAcentral
AUUUUUUUCUUUACUUUUAGUCUUUAACAUAAAAAUACCAAAAAUAUUAUCUUAUCAUCUUUAUCAGAUCUCACUUUUGCAAGUGGCCGUGAAGGGAUUGACAACCCCUUUAUCGCGUUGGUUGCAAGGUUCUUAUUUGUUUGUGUAGGUGCAAGGGACUUGAGCGUGGCCUCCUACUGGAUUGAUACCUUGGUUCUCAAAAGCUGAGGGAAAUACUUACGCUACUUUACUGCAUCACCCUUUCCUCUUCAAGGGAAAACCAACGCAGUGCUCAAGAGGUAGCAAGAAGGAUUUCUGGCGCCGUUGUCGGGGAUUGUACGCACAAGUCAAGACAUACCAAGUACCGAUCACAAACUCUUAUCCCUCGUAUUACAUUAUUUGCCAUUUGCCUCUCGUUUUCCUCUCCCCCACUUCACCCUUGCCGUUUUAUUCGCCCUUCUUCUGUUCGUCUUUUUCGUUUGCUUUGAUGUCUUACUUGGCUCGUUUGCUCGUUUGGUUGGAAUAGUUGUUUAUUUUUUUCUAAACAGAGAACCUAAGAUCUAUGGAUCCUCAUCCGCUUGCUAAUCUUUUUAAGAGAUCCAAUUAUGAUGAACCAAUUGCUAGUGAGUUUCAUGCACUAGAUUAUCCUUAUGAAGUUUUGCUUGAAAUUCAUGAAUCUGAAAAUUGUGAUGAAGAAAUUUAUGAAGAGAUUCACGAUAACUCCUUGAAUAAAAAGCAUGAUUGCAAUGAUUUUACUAUAAAUUCUCUUGAUGUCAAUUGUGCUAAUAAUAUGCAAAACCCUAAGCUUGGGGAUGCUAUUUUUACUAUGUCUACUACUUGUUGCAAUGAUCAUGAUUGGGGUGAUUCUUCUUAUGAUCUUGAAAAUUUAUUUAAGCCCCAUGAUGAAUAUGAGAUUGUAAUAGUGUUUGCAAUAUUAUUGAAAGUGGGUUUGGAAGAAUGUCAACUUUAGAUCCCACAUAUUUGGAGAAUGUUCAAUCUUAUGAUUUUUUUGAUAAAAGUGGGUUUGGAGAGGUCAUGACUUUAGUUAAUGUUAACCCCACUAUUUUGGAAGAGUGUCAACUUUGCAUGCAUGUGGAUCGUGUUGAAAAUAUGUUUUGUGAUAGCUAUAUUGUUGAAUUUUCUUAUGAUCCUACAUGUAAUUAUUAUGAGAGAGGAAAAUAUGAUUGUAGAAAUUUUCAUGUUACCAAAUUACCUCUCGUUAUGUUGAGAUUGCUAUUGUUUCUUUCCGCUUCCUUGCAUAUGCUAGUUUUUGUUCGCCCUGAUAAUUUGUUUGCUUAUAAAAUACCUAUGCAUAGAAAUUAUGUUAGACUUAAGUGUGUUUGUCACAUGUUUUAUGAUGCUCUCUUUGUGCUUCAAUUCUUGUCUUUCAUGUGAGCAUCAUUAAAAUUAUCAAUGCCUAGCUAAAAGGGCGUUAAACGAUAGCGCUUGUUGGGAGGCAACCCAAUUUUAUUUUAGUUUUUUUUCUUGUUGCUUCUGUUUAGUAAUAAAUCUUUGAUCUAUCCUCUGGUUAGAUGUGUUUUUAUGUUUUAAUUAGUGUUUGUGCCAAGUAAAACCUAUAGGAUCUUCUUGGAUGAUAGUUAUUUGAUCUUGCUGAAAAUUCCAGAAACUUUAUGUUCACCAAAACAGUUGUUAAAAAUCACCAGAACGUGAUAAAAUACUGAUUCCAAUUGCAGUAGAUCAAUAAACAAAUUAUCUAGGUCGUCCUAUUUUGGUAGAUUUUUCUGAGUUGCAGAAGUUUGUGUUAGAUACAAAUUACUUCAGACUGUUCUGUUUUUGACAGAUUCUGUUUUUCGUGUGUUGUUUGCUUAUUUUGAUGAGUCUAUAGCUAGUAAAAGAUUUUAUAAACCAUAGAGAAGUUGGAAUACAGUAGGUUUAACACCUAUAUAUACAAAGAAUGAGUUCAAUACAGUACCUUGAAAUGGUGUUUUCUUUUCUUUUGCUAACGGAGCUCAUGAGAUUUUCUGUUGAGUUUUGUGUUGUGAAGUUUUCAAGUUUUGGGUAAAGAUUUGAUGGAUUAUGGAACAAGGAGUGGCAAGAGCCUAAGCUUGGGGAUGCCCAAGGCACCCCAAGGUAAAUCCAAGGACACCAAAAAGCCAAAGCUUGGGGAUGCCCCGGAAGGCAUCCCCUCUUUCGUCUUCGUCCAUCGGCAACUUUACUUGGAGCUAUAUUUUUAUUCACGACAUGAUAUGUGUUUUGCUUGGAGCGUAUUGUAUGAUUUGAGUCUUUGCUUUUUAGUUUACCACAAUCAUCCUCGCUGAAUACACUUUUGAGAGAGACACACAUGAUUCAGAAUUUAUUAGAAUACUGUUUGUGCUUCACUUAUAUCUUUUGAGCUAUAUAGUUUUCUGCUCUAGUGCUUCACUUAUAUAUUUUAGAGCACGGUGGUGGUUUUGUUUUAUAGAAACUAUUGUCUCUCAUGCUUCACUUAUAUUGUUUUGAGAGUCCUACAAAACAGCAUGGUAAUUUGCUUAAAUUGUGAAAUUAGUCCUAAUAUGAUAGGCAUCCAAGAUUAGUAAAAACUUUCUUAUAAGUGCGUUGAAUACUAAGAGAAGUUUGAUGCUUGAUGACUGGUUUGAGAUAUGGCGGUAGUGAUAUUAAAGUUGUGCUAGCUGAGUAAUUGUGAAUUUUAAAAAUACUUGUGUUGGAGUUUGCAAGUCCCGUAGCAUGAACGUAUGGUAAACGUUGUGUAACAAAUUUGAAACAUGAGGUGUUCUUUGAUUGUCCUCCUUAUGAGUGGCGGUCGGGGACGAGCGAUGGUCUUUUCCUACCAAUCUAUCCCCCUAGGAGCAUGCGCAUAGUGCUUGGUUUUUGAUGACUUGUAGAUUUUUGCAAUAAGUAUGUGAGUUCUUCAUGACUAAUGUUGAGUCCAUGGAUUAUACGCACUCUCACCCUUCCAUCAUUGCUAGCCUCUUCGGUACCGUGCAUUGCCCUUUCUCGCCUUGAGAGUUGGUGCAAACUUCGCAGGUGCAUCCAAACCCCGUGGUACGAUACACUCUAUCACACAUAAACCUCCUUAUAUCUUCCUCAAAACAGCCACCAUACCUACCUAUUAUGGCAUUUCCAUAGCCAUUCCGAGAUAUAUUGCCAUGCAACUUUCCACCAUUCUGUUUAUUAUGACAUGCUUCAUCAUUGUCAUAUUGCCUUGCAUGAUCAUGUAGUUGACAUCGUAUUUGUGGCAAAGCCACCGUGCAUAUUAUUUCAUACAUGUCACUCUUGAUUCAUUGCCCUUCUCGGUACACCGCCGGAGGCAUUCAUAUAGAGUCAUACUUUGUUCUAGUAUCGAGUUGUAAUCAUUGAGUUGUAAAUAAAUAGAAGUGUGAUGAUCAUCAUUCAUAGAGCAUUGUCCCCCCAAAAAAAGGGGAAAAAAAGGAAAGGCCCAAAAGAAAAAGAAAAAAGAAAAUAAAAAGGGGCAAUGCUACUAUCCUUUUUUCCACACUUGUGCUUCAAAGUAGCACCAUGAUCUUUAUGGUAUAGAGUCUCUUGUUUUGUCACUUUCAUAUACUAGUGGGAAUUUUUCAUUAUAGAACUUGGCUUGUAUAUUCCAACAAUGGGCUUCCUCAAAUGCCCUAGGUCUUCGUGAGCAAGCAAGUUGGAUGCACACCCACUUAAUUUCUUUUGUUGAGCUUUUAUACAUUUAUAGCUCUAGUGCAUCCGUUGCAUGGCAAUCCCUACUCCUUGCAUUGACAUCAAUCGAUGGGCAUCUCCCUAGCUCAUUGAUUAGCCGCGUCAAUGUGAGACUUUCUCCCUUUUUGUCUUCUCCACAGAAAAAGAAUAUCAAACGGAGUCCAAACGGAAUGAAACCUUCGGGAACGUGAUUUUCGGAACAAACGUGAUCCAGAGGACUUGGAGUGGACGUCAAGCAACCAACGAGGAAGCCACGAGGCAGGGAGCGCGCCUACCCCCUGGGCACGCCCUCCACCCUCGUGGGCCCCUCAUGGCUCCACCGACCUACUUCUUCCUCCUAUAUAUACCUACGUACCCCCAAACCAUCAGAAACAGAGCCAAAACCCUAUUUCCACUGCCGCAACCUUCUAUACCCGUGAGAUCCCAUCUUGGGGCCUUUUCUGGCGCUCCGCCGGAGGGGGCAUUGAUCACGGAGGGCUUCUACAUCAACACCAUAGCCUCUCCGAUGAUGUGUGAGUAGUUUACCUCAGACCUUCGGGUCCAUAGUUAUUAGCUAGAUGGCUUCUUCUCUCUCUUUGGAUCUCAAUACAAAGUUCUCCUCGAUUCUCUGGGAGAUCUAUUCGAUGUAACUCUUCUUUUUGCGGUGUGUUUGUCGAGAUCCGAUGAAUUGUGGGUUUAUGAGCAAGAUUAUCUAUGAACAAUAUUUGAAUCUUCUCUGAAUUCUUUUAUGUAUGAUUGGUUAUCUUUGCAAGUCUCUUCGAAUUAUUAGUUUGGUUUGGCCUACUAGAUUGAUCUUUCUUGCAAUGGGAGAAGUGCUUAGCUUUGGGUUCAAUCUUGCGGUGUCCUUUCCCAGUGACAGCAGGGGCAGCAAGGCACGUAUUGUAUUGUUGCCAUCGAGGAUAAAAAGAUGGGGUUUAUAUCAUAUUGCAUGAGUUUAUCCCUCUACAUCAUGUCAUCUUGCUUAAAGCGUUACUCUGUUCUUAUGAACUUAAUACUCUAGAUGCAUGCUGGAUAGCGGUCGAUGUGUGGAGUAAUAGUAGUAGAUGCAGGCAGGAGUCGGUCUACUUGUCACGGACGUGAUGCCUAUAUAAAUGAUCAUACCUAGAUAUUCUCAUAACUAUGCUCAAUUCUAUCAAUUGCUUGACAGUAAUUUGUUUACCCACCGUAAUACUUAUGCUAUCUUUAGAGAAGCCACUAGUGAAACCUAUGGCCCCCGGGUCUAUUUUCCAUCAUAUUAAUCUCCCGUCAACAAGCUAUUUCUGGCGCCGUUUAUUUUUUUCUUUACUUUUAGUCUUUAACAUAAAAAUACCAAAAAUAUUAUCUUAUCAUCUUUAUCAGAUCUCACUUUUGCAAGUGGCCGUGAAGGGAUUGACAACCCCUUUACCGUGUUGGUUGCAAGGUUCUUAUUUGUUUGUGUAGGUGCAAGGGACUUGAGUGUAACACCCCGCAUGUAACUUGCCAUAUUUGUAACUCCGACUCUUGCCAUUUUCGGCUAUGUGUUAUG